GGAAAUUCUUACGGAUGUAAGAUGCAGACAAAAUCUCCAGUUCUCAAAUGAAUAGUGACAAGUAAUACAGUCCAGGGAAAGAUCAGCCAGGUUUUCAGUUGGCUUUUAUUUUUUGCAUUUUUCCAGUAUAAAUUUUUAUAUGAAUGCCUUAUUUCUCUCUUUUCCCUCCAUAAAUGAAGAAUAUGGCUCUUGAAAGGUGACUUGCAAGUACACUGUGUCCUGAAGUUCUCCCAUUUAAAUGGCAAUAAUGCUGGAUUAAUCCCCAAGAGUUUGUGACUUCCUUUCUGCAAGCCUACCAAAACUCACCUCAGCCACGGAAGAUCCUUGAGUGUCUCAGCAGCAGUGCAGAGGAAGUGAUCUGAAGGAGACCAGAAGUGAGGGGGAGCUGGCAGGGACUAUCCUAAACCCAAAACCUUGGAGAAGCUGAACAAACAUGAGAAAGGACACUAAAAUCCACCAAUUUCACCUGCUGUGAGGAGGAGAUCAACACCAAGAACCCAACAGAUUCCCAGCUGCUGUGUGAACAUUUAUUUCUCCCCUUCUCCUGAGACCAAGAGGGCAACCCACCAUCUUUACCUUCUGACUGCGAGAAAGCUCUAAUGGGUUUGUGGACUAAAUACUGUGAAGAAAUUCUGAUUGGAUUAUCAGCAGUAUUUUUGGCUGGACUCAUCAUCUGGCUGUGACUCAAAUGGAGAAGUGAAAAGCCAGUUAUCUGAUAGGUUUGGCUGUAAUGAGCAGUCUUCAGAGAUCACAGGGUGUUUUACACUGCUGAUGAGUCAAGCCAACAGAGAAGAGCUUCUGAGCUGGGACCU
Molecule: long non-coding RNA, 812 nt
Filed under: Parus major (Great Tit)
Lineage: Eukaryota; Metazoa; Chordata; Aves; Passeriformes; Paridae
Description: lncRNA (ENSPMJG00000000559.1)
Source: RNAcentral